Molecule: long non-coding RNA, 1365 nt
Filed under: Equus caballus (horse)
Lineage: Eukaryota; Metazoa; Chordata; Mammalia; Perissodactyla; Equidae
Description: lncRNA (ENSECAG00000043764.2)
Source: RNAcentral
CUUUCUUGACGGAUCUGGAUCUAGAGUCAGAUUAAGCCCGUCAUUUUGAUUUUCCUGUCACUGAACGAGCUAAGGCAAAUUGCUUCGCUGUCCUGUGUCCCAUUUCUUCACCUGCCCUCUUGUACUCCUUUUCUCGGAAGACUGUGCAGAAAAUGAAAGGUGGUUUUGAUUAAUGAACCAAAACAAGUGAAUUUGUGUACAGAAGACAGAAAGAAUUAUAACUCAGAUGGUUGCUUUUAGGUAUUACCAACUUCUGAACAGAAAAUCUUCCUCUCAGCAUUGGGUAAAUUUCAACAGCACGUAGAUUUCUCAUGGGAUGUAUAUACACUUCAACAAUGAAAUGGUAUCUCUAUGUAAGGCUGGUGGGAAGUUCCGUGGAGUUUCUGGAUGCAAAAGAUACCCACCCAUACCUGCACAUACUUUAUAUUUUGGACUGUGCUAGCCUAUAAGCCACCUUUGUGCAAAAAUAGAGUAAAAAAGUCCCUUAUCUAAGCAGACGUUUCUAGAUGGGUGGCUGGCUUGGUGCAUGGAUAGAGCCUCUAUGAAAAGCAGAACCCAGUGCUGCUUCUUCAGGGAAGACGCAACUCCAGCCCAGAGGACACGUGUGUUGAGCAGAACAAUGGCUGGAUUUCAGCCCCUCCUUUCUUCUGGCUUGGAGCCUUGGACAGGGAACAACUUGCUCACAUUGUCUGGUUCUGCACAGAAGGAGCUUGGAAGUCACCACUCUGUCCUAAGCUGAACCGACUUAAAAAUCAACGACUCUUCUUGGAUCCCUAAGAGAGGGGAGAACAUGGGGCAAACUGCUGCCCCCGAGACUGAAGAGGCCAAGCGGUGCGCACAGGGAGUCGUGGCACACUGGAGUGGAGACUCUCCAGCAGCAACCAUCACGGGGACCAGCGCCGAGGUGGGAACACCUGAACUGACGAAUUGCUGAAAGCUGGGUGCAGAAAACUCUGAGACUUAAAUACUCCCGGGGGCUCAGUCAUAGGACCCCCCAGUAUAGUGAGAUUUCCUUCCAGGAGCUCAAACCACAGUAAAUAUUCCAGAUAGCUACAGUAAACAUUGGAGAUUCCAAGAAAUAUUGGAAAUAUUGGAGAAAAAUCCCCUUGGGCUUCUGUCAGGGGAGGGGACAAGGAACCAAUUUCAAAUAUGCCAGAGCACUCUGCUCUUCUUAACGAGGCCUGCCCUCAUUGUCAACUUGUUAGCCAGAGCCUAAUCCACUUUAGUACUUAAGUGACCUAGGGAUAGGCAACACUCAACUUCAGCCCACUCCAGCCUUGCAUGUUGGAGAAGGGAGCUAGCCAACUCCAGCCCACUCGAGACAUCCUGUUCCAUCUAAAGGGGGAGAAAAAAACCCAGAAGCAC